This 2715-nucleotide long non-coding RNA is filed under the name Homo sapiens (human). Its description in RNAcentral is "HSALNT0404112". Lineage: Eukaryota; Metazoa; Chordata; Mammalia; Primates; Hominidae. The record is from RNAcentral.
CUUUUCUAACAAUCUCUCCUUUAUCCCAUGUUUUCUUUUUCUCUUUCCUCUCUCCUCCCCAAAUGAAUAUUAACAAAAUCUCUUGCCUCCUGGUGGAAUCAGAAUGAAUCCAUACAGACUAUACCUAUGUCAAACAUACCUAAGCAAAAUGCCACAGAGGAAAACUCAUGUUUUUAGCUCAACCCCUUUAUUGAGCUGAUUUUUUUCUAUUGCCCUGCUUUCCCUGAUAAAUAUUAUAUAUAUAUAUAUAUAUAAGCUGAAUAGACAUGGGCAAAAUUUGGUUCUUCUGGAUCAUGGAAAUUGGGCUUCGGGAUACAUGUUGGAAUCUGAGUUCCAGCAUUCUUGCAUAGUCUGGCAUCUUUAUGAGAAAUGGUCAGAAUUCCAUCCUUGAAGAAGGCUUCUAAUGGAAGAUCUCUGGAAGCAGAGGCAGUAAGCUUCUUUCGGGAAUGGGGUUAUAUGUCCAUCCUAUGCAAAGUGACUCUUGCAGCCACCACAUCAAGGGAGGCCCGUCCAAGGCUCAUGUGCUCUCCUGGCCUUCUCACGGCCAGACUGCAUGGGGAUCGUGGUCAAUCCUAAGAGAUGGAAUGGGUUUUUCAAAAGCACUUCCCCUAGAGAGAGCCCUCUACACUGGUCCAAAGGCAAUGCCAAGAGACGCAAACGGUCUGUUUCCCAUGGGAGACGAUGAUAUACCCACACGUCCCCUGCCCAGGCAUGUCGGUGGGGCCAGACCACGGCAUCUGGUUUGACAUAGAGCAGACAGGGUGAGGAACACUUUGCUUCUGUUGGAAAUGAAUGAUACUUCCUCUCCCCAGAGUACUGGGCUCUGCAAUUCACCCCAAGUGCAGCUGCUGCUGUUCUGGGUGCUUGAACUAAGUGGGAGCUGGAAGGGAUGGGGUGUCAUUCUGUCUUUAGGAAGGAAGGGCUGAGACUUCCUUAUUUUCUCCCCCCUCUCCCUGCUGACUCAAAGCUCAGGGCAUAAAUCAUUCCAUUUCUGUUUUCCCAGUGGAGAUGGUAUGCCUCAGUCUCCUUCUCUUUUGCUCUUUCUUUCCCUGGAAGCAAGGGACUCCUUUUCAGCCUGGGAGUAUAAAUGGUGGCCCUGGAAAGAAGACACUGGGCUCCCAGGGGUUCAGGGCAGGAGGAUGAAGAAGCUACACGAGAUUUGGACUUCUUAGAGCUGGUACUCCCGGAGUCUAGAAUCAGAUAGACCUCCCGCGAGGAUAUGCUAAAAGUCCCAUAGAAAACAGUGGGGAAAACAACUUCCUCUUCUGAACAAUCUUUCAGAGGACAUUCCUCCUAGAGUUUAAAACAUUACAGUCUCCAGAGCCCAGCGCCAAUUCCGUGUCAGCCCACAACCCGCUCUGGUUGCACAGCUUCACGAGUCACAAGGACUGGAUGGACAAGUGUGUGUGCCUAGUGACUGCCUUCUCCCAGCACAUGCACCAUGUCCCGGUGGCAUUGCCGGAGAUGGUCCGUGCCCUCUCAGCCCAGCAGCAGACCCUCAGGCAGAUCACCAUCUGUGGAGACCGCCAGGCCAAGGACACCAAAGUUCUGGUGCAGUGCGUCCACCCUGUCUACAUUCCUAACAUGGUGCUGAUUCUGGCUGAUGGGGACCCCUCGAGUUUCCUGUCCCACUGGCUGCCUUUCCUGAGUACCCUCCGAAGGCAGGAAGACCAGGCCACUGCGUAUGUGUGUGAGAAUCAAGCCUGCUCAAUGCUCAUCAUGGAUCCCUGUGAAUUACGAAAACUGCUACAUCCGUGACUGCCCCAACCCUCUUGGGCUGGGGCAGAAGGUAGAGCUUCCCAACUGACUAAAGACUCAGGUCCUGCAGGGCCGUGUAGAACUUGUGGCCAUCCCUGAGCACCCUGCCACCAGGUGACUUCAGCCAUACUCACUGCCUCCCUUGGGCACCCACUCACCCUAGAAUAAACUUAACAGUAUCCUACGGUGGGGAAAAAAUUACAGUCUCCAGCCUAGAGGACAGAAUUAGGCUGUUUUGCUUUCUAUCGUUAUUGUUACUGUUGUUCUUGUUGUUGUUUUUAGCUUGUGUGUUCCCUUUGUCUUUGCAAUUAACAGAAGGACAUACCAUUGCGAUGGAUCUUUAGGAUGCCCAUAUUUAUAGCUGAACACACUCACUGGGCCCUGCUGUGUCCCAAAGGGUAGCUCUCUUCUUCCUUCUCAUGGUUUUCCUCUUGCUCCUUCAAGCUUUGGAAAAGGCUACAUUACUGUAGUUCACUGGACUUGGUUAUGUAACAAAAGUGAGCCAGGUACCUCAACACCAUUGAUCCUUGUGGACAGCCAAGGUCACUUUUCAUCUUUGAAUGGAGGUCAGCAGGAAAGACGAGAUGGCUGGGCUGGCAGAGUCUGCUGCCUGCCCCCCCGCUCACCUCCAUCCUGCACUCCUGUGCUAACAGCCCUCCAUUGUGGCCACUAAAACACCACAUUUCUCAGCCUGCUGUAAGAUGCCAGGAGAAGGGUAUUGAGACAGUGCAAUAAAGAGUCUGACUACAUUUCUGAUGUCUGGCUGCAUUCAAAUCUCAUUACUCCCUCUUCUCCUUUUGUUCCAUAUCCAGGAAGCUGAAAAGAAGGCCCAGGUGCUCCCUCCUUUGGAAUUGGUGGGAAAUUUAAACCCCACAAGCCUCUACCCCUGUGCAAAAGCCUUCACCCCAGCCUCAUCUCUACCCACAAUAAACGCCAAGCCAGUCUCUCUUCUCUGGA